RNAcentral lists this ribosomal RNA (2900 nucleotides) under Clostridioides difficile. RNAcentral describes it as "23S ribosomal RNA". It matches the Rfam family "Bacterial large subunit ribosomal RNA". The record is from RNAcentral. Lineage: Bacteria; Bacillati; Bacillota; Clostridia; Peptostreptococcales; Peptostreptococcaceae.
UGGUCAAGUUAUUAAGGGUGCAGGGCGGAUGCCUUGGCACUAGGAGCCGAUGAAGGACGUGAUAAGCUGCGAUAAGCUUCGGGGAGUUGCACGUAAACUUUGAUCCGAAGAUUUCCGAAUGAGGAAACUCACUUAGAGUAAUGUCUAAGUAUCAUUAAGUGAAUACAUAGCUUAAUGAGGGGAACUCAGGGAACUGAAACAUCUAAGUACCUGAAGGAAGAGAAAGAAAUUCGAUUCCGUAAGUAGCGGCGAGCGAACGCGGAUUAGCCCAAACCAAUAAAGUUUUCUUUAUUGGGGUUGCGGACAUAUCAUAACGAAGAGGUAUCGUAAUUGAAGAGGUUUGGAAAGACCCACCACAGAAGGUAAUAGUCCUGUAUGUUAAACGAGAAGACUUUAGAUAUGAUCCAGAGUACCACGGGACACGUGAAACCCUGUGGGAAGCAGGAGGGACCACCCUCCAAGGCUAAAUACUACCUAGUGACCGAUAGCGUAUAGUACCGUGAGGGAAAGGUGAAAAGAACCCCGGGAGGGGAGUGAAAUAGAACCUGAAACCCUGCACUUACAAGCUGUGGAAGCACAUUUCUUGUGUGACCGCGUACUUUUUGUAGAACGGGCCAACGAGUUACGUUAAGUAGCAAGGUUAAGCACUUAAGGUGUGGAGCCGUAGCGAAAGCGAGUUUUAACUGAGCGUUCAGUUACUUGGCGUAGACCCGAAACCGGGCGACCUACCCAUGAGCAGGAUGAAGCGAAAGUAAAAUUUCGUGGAGGUCCGAACCCACGAGCGUUGAAAAGCUCGGGGAUGACUUGUGGGUAGCGGUGAAAUUCCAAUCGAGCCCGGAGAUAGCUGGUUCUCCCCGAAAUAACUUUAGGGCUAGCCUCAAGGUGAGAGAUACGGAGGUAGAGCACUGAAUGUCCUAGGGGGUAUUGCACCUACCGAAGACUAUCAAACUCCGAAUGCCGUCAUCUUAUACUUGGGAGUCAGACUGUGGGUGAUAAGAUUCAUAGUCGAAAGGGCAACAGCCCAGAUCGUCAGCUAAGGUCCCUAAAUGUAAGUUAAGUGGUAAAGGAUGUGGGAUUGCACAGACAACCAGGAUGUUGGCUUAGAAGCAGCCACUCAUUCAAAGAGUGCGUAAUAGCUCACUGGUCGAGUGAUCCUGCGCCGAAGAUUUCCGGGGCUAAAACUUACUACCGAAGCUACGGCAUCAGUAAUGAUGGGUAGGGGAGCUUCCCAUACGGGUUGAAGCAUGACCGUAAGGACAUGUGGACAGUAUGGGAGUGAGAAUGUUGGCAUGAGUAGCGAGAUGUGGGUGAGAAUCCCACAGGCCGUAAACCCAAGGUUUCCAGGGGAAGGUUCGUCCGCCCUGGGUUAGUCGGGACCUAAGCUGAGGCCGAAAGGCGUAGGUGAUGGACAACAGGUUGAUAUUCCUGUACUACCGAUAACCGUUUGAGAGAAGGGAUGACACAGUAGGAUAAGCUAAGCACACUGUUGGUUAUGUGUGCCCAAGCAUUGAGGCAGUCAAAGUAGGCAAAUCCGCUUUGAUAAUGCUGGGAUGUGAUGGGGAGCGAAAUUUAGUAGCGAAGUAGCUGAUUUCACACUGUCAAGAAAAGUCUCUAUCGAGGUUAAAGGUACCCGUACCGCAAACCGACACAGGUGGGUGAGGAGAGUAUCCUAAGGCCAGCGAGAGAACUGUUGUUAAGGAACUCGGCAAAAUGACCCCGUAACUUAGGGAUAAGGGGUGCCACCAUCAGGUGGCCGCAGAGAAUAGGCCCAAGCGACUGUUUACCAAAAACAUAGGUUUCUGCUAAGUCGCAAGACGAUGUAUAGGAGCUGACGCCUGCCCGGUGCUGGAAGGUUAAGGGGAUCUGUUAGAGCAAUCGAAGCAGUGAACUUAAGCCCCAGUAAACGGCGGCCGUAACUAUAACGGUCCUAAGGUAGCGAAAUUCCUUGUCGGGUAAGUUCCGACCCGCACGAAAGGCGUAACGAUUUGGGCACUGUCUCAACAACAGACUCGGUGAAAUUGUAAUUCCGGUGAAGAUGCCGGAUACCUGCGACAGGACGGAAAGACCCCAUGGAGCUUUACUGUAGCUUGACAUUGGGUCUUGGUACUACAUGUACAGGAUAGGUGGGAGGCUUUGAAACCAGGACGCCAGUUUUGGCGGAGCCAUCCUUGGGAUACCACCCUUGUAGUACUGGGACUCUAACCAUAGGCCAUGAAUCUGGUCUUGGGACACUGUCAGGUGGGCAGUUUGACUGGGGCGGUCGCCUCCCAAAAGGUAACGGAGGCGCUCAAAGGUUCUCUCAGUACGGUCGGAAAUCGUACGUAGAGUGUAAAGGCAAAAGAGAGCUUGAUUGCAAGACAUACAGGUCGAGCAAGGAUGAAAAUCGGACUUAGUGAUCCGGUGGUUCUGCGUGGAAGGGCCAUCGCUCAACGGAUAAAAGCUACCCUGGGGAUAACAGGCUUAUCUCCCCCAAGAGUCCACAUCGACGGGGAGGUUUGGCACCUCGAUGUCGGCUCAUCACAUCCUGGGGCUGUAGUAGGUCCCAAGGGUUGGGCUGUUCGCCCAUUAAAGUGGUACGCGAGCUGGGUUCAGAACGUCGUGAGACAGUUCGGUCCCUAUCCGUCGCAGGCGUAGGAAAUUUGAGAAGACCUGUCCUUAGUACGAGAGGACCGGGAUGGACGUACCUCUGGUGUACCAGUUGUCCUGCCAAGGGCAUGGCUGGGUAGCUAUGUACGGAAUGGAUAAGCGCUGAAAGCAUCUAAGCGCGAAGCCAACUUCAAGAUAAGAUUUCCCACCGCAAGGGUAAGACCCCAGAAAGACUAUCUGGUUGAUAGGUCGAAGGUGUAAGUUCAGCAAUGUAUUUAGCUUAUCGAUACUAAUAGGUCGAGGACUUGACCAAU